This 321-nucleotide long non-coding RNA is filed under the name Parus major (Great Tit). RNAcentral describes it as "lncRNA (ENSPMJG00000016672.1)". The record is from RNAcentral. Lineage: Eukaryota; Metazoa; Chordata; Aves; Passeriformes; Paridae.
AUGAAGGAGGAAGCCAUUUUACCACCUGCACAUAAAACUAGUGUGCCAGCUCUGCCAUUCCACAGAGGUGCCAGCUUCAGGUUCUGUAUAUCCUGGGAAGGGACCAGACAGCAGAGAGAGCAUCACAGAUUUGUCCAGUUGUGUGACACAAGCUUCAUAGAGCCUUCCUAUGGCCAUGUGGAGGCUCCUGAUCAGGACAGCAGCUCAGAUGAGCAAGGAGCCAGGGAAGGAGCCUUCCAGGUCCUUCCCGCAGAGCCCAGAGGCCUGAGCAGCGGUUCUGUCUUGCGCUCUGCGCUUCCCCAGGCAGGGAAGGAGAUGUAG